AUUGAACGCUGGCGGCAGGCCUAACACAUGCAAGUCGAACGAGUGGCGGACGGGUGAGUAAUGUCUGGGAAACUGCCUGAUGGAGGGGGAUAACUACUGGAAACGGUAGCUAAUACCGCAUACCAUCGGAUGUGCCCAGAUGGGCGUAGCUAGUAGGUGGGGUAAAGGCUCACCUAGGCGACGAUCCCUAGGUGGUCUGGGAGGAUGACCGGGCACGCUGGAACUGAGAAGCGGUCAUGACUCAUACGGUAGGCAGCAGUGGGGAAUAUUGACCACUGGGCGCAAGCCAGCUGCAGCCAUGGCGCGUGUGUGACGAAGGCAUUCAGUUUGUAAAGUACUUUCAGCGGGGAGGCGUUACCCUCAGAAGAAGCACCGGCUAACUCCGAGCCGUCAGCCGCGGUAAUUC
This 406-nucleotide ribosomal RNA is filed under the name uncultured bacterium. RNAcentral's name for it is "partial 16S ribosomal RNA". It matches the Rfam family "Bacterial small subunit ribosomal RNA", at positions 30 to 526 of the family's 1533-position model. The record is from RNAcentral.